Molecule: long non-coding RNA, 5096 nt
Filed under: Populus trichocarpa (black cottonwood)
Lineage: Eukaryota; Viridiplantae; Streptophyta; Magnoliopsida; Malpighiales; Salicaceae
Description: long non-coding RNA (PTRI_LNC001086)
Source: RNAcentral
GCAGCAAGAAAAUUAACAGAGGGAUCCUCACGUUCACCCUCAAAAGUUUAUCUGGAAUCCACCAGAAAAUGAGAGAAAGUCUCAAAACUGUAUUUAAUAUUUGGAAUACAAAAGUGAGAGUAAGGCAACGCUUACGUUGUGUAUUUAUUCUACUUGAAACAUGCAUGAUUAAUUAUACCUAUUGAAUGCCAUUUAAAUCUCAGCGUACAAUACUCAUGACCUUUUCGUCUUCACUGUGCACCUAUCAAUUUAUGUUUUAAAUUCCCCUGCCAAGCGUUCUGCAUCAACAGACUCCUCCACUUUGAAAGAACUCGCCUCUGAGUUAUCUUCAGAAUAAAGAGCUUCAUCUUCAUGAUACUCAUACAAAUCUGUAACAUUAAACGUGCUUGAAAUUCCCAUAGAUGCAGGCAGGUCAAUAACAUAGGCAUUAUCAUUGAUCUUCCUUAAAAUCUUAUAAGGUCCAUACUUGCGUGGCUUCAGCUUGUUGUAGGUUCCAACAGGGAAUCGCUCCUUUCUGAGAAAAACCAUCACAUAAUUUCCUUCAUUGAAAACUUUAGCACGCCUAUGCUUGUCUGCAGCAACUUUGUACCUAGCAUUGAUUUUUUCCAGCUUAUCUCGCACUUCUUCUUUAACCUCAAUAACGUCUUUAGCCAUAUGCUGAGCGCCUAUGCUAACUCCAUGAGCUUUGGGAAGUUUUACCAAGUCAACGGCAUGGUUAGGAACUGAAGUAUAUACCAAAGAGAAAGGAGACUUUCCUGUGGCACUAUGAACUGCGUUAUUGUAAGCAAACUCUACUUGCGGUAAGGCAUUGUCCCACUUCUUUGAUUUAUCAAUACAUACACUUCGAAUCAUGUUGCCACGCGUUCUAUUAGUCACCUCUGUCUGGCCAUCUGUUUGUGGAUGUGUUGUACUGCUACGCUUCAAGGUAGUACCGAAAAGCUUCCAUAGAGUAAUCCAGAAAUGACUCGGAAAUUUGGUGUCACGAUCAGAUGUAAUAGUUUUGAGUACACCAUGCAAACGCACCACCUCCCUGAAAAAUAGUUUAGCUAUAUGAGUAGCGUCAGAAGUCUUUCUACAAGCUAUAAAAUGUGCCAUCUUAAAGAACCUGUCAACCACAACAAACACAGAAUCAACCCCACUUUGGGUUCGAGGAAGCCCCAAUACAAAAUCCAUGGACAAGUCUUGCCAAAUAUCGCUAGGAACCGGUAAAGGCAUAUAAAAUCCAGUAUUUUGAGUUUGUCCCUUUGAAACCUGACAAACAUAGCAGUUUCUCAUAAUUUUGCCAACGUCCUUCUUCAACUGAGGCUAAAAAUAACGUUCCUCAACUCCUGCAAUGGUUUUGUCUCUUCCUAGGUGCCCGCUCAAACCGCCUCCAUGAAUAUCUCGAAUAAGCUUCUCUCGUAAGGAUGAGCUGGGAAUACAUAACCUGUUGCCUUUAAACAAAUACCCUUCUCUCAUGUGGUAGUCUGAAACCGGUUGACUCUGAGCACACUUCACCCAAACUUCUUUGAAAUCAAGAUCAGCUUCAUAUAACUCCUUUAGAAAUUCAAAUCCCACAAUCUCUUGUGCUAAAGUAAUCAACAAGUCUGCUCUCCGACUUAAAGCAUCAGCAACACGAUUGAGAGAACCAGAUUUAUGCUUAAUCACAAAAGGGAACUUCUGAAGGAAAGUGGCCCAUCUGACAUGCAUUUUACUCACACUUUUCUCGCUGUUGAUAAACUUCAAGGCUUCAUGAUCAGUGUAAAGAACAAAUUCUCGUUGCACUAGAUAAUGCUCCCAUUGUUUCAAAGCACGCACAACUGCAUAAAAUUCUUGAUCAUAAGUACUCCACUUUUGACGGGCCUCACUUAAUUUUUCACUGAAGAAUGUCAUUGGUCUUUUUUCUUGAGACAACACAGCUCCCACCCCCAAUCCACUUGCAUCACAUUCGACUUCGAAUAUCUUUUCGAAGUUGGGAAGGGCCAAAACUGGUGCAGUGUUAAGCUUUUCUUUAAUCAACACAAAACUUUUAUCUUGUGCUUCACCCCAAUGAAACUUCCUUUGCUUGAGACAUUCAGUAAUAGGGGCUGCAAGAGUACUAAAGUUUCGUACAAAACGCCUGAAAAAAGUAGCAAGGCCAUGGAAACUACGUAACUCACUUACAGGUUUUGGAGUUGGCCAUUCUCUGAUUGCACGUACUUUGUCCUGAUCCACAUGAAUUCCAUCUUCGCUCACAAUAUACCCCAAAAAUAGCAGUUUAUUUGUAAAGAAUGUGCACUUCUUCAAAUUAAUAUAAAGCUUAUUCUCUUUCAAAACAUCCAGAACCUGUCUUAAUUGCACCAAAUGUUCUUCUUUGUUUUUACUGUAAAUUAGAAUAUCAUCAAAAUACACAACUACAAAUGACCCAGUAAAAGGACGCAAAACCUGGUUCAUGAGUCACAUGAAAGUACUUGGUGCAUUUGAUAAUUCGAAUGGCAUCACCAGCCAUUCAUACAGACCCUCCUUGCUCUUAAAUGCUGUCUUCCAUUCGUCCCCUGGUUUAAUUCGAAUCUGGUGAUAGCCACUGUGCAAAUCAAUUUUUGAAAACACCUUGGAGCCCUCAAGGACAUCCAACAUAUCCUCCAACCGCAGAAUUGGAAAUCUAUAUUUAAUGGUGAUUUUAUUAAUGGCUCUGCUGUCAACACACAUACGCCAGGUGUUAUCCUUUUUUGGCACUAGCAAGACAGGAACUGCACAAGGACUCAUGCUCUCACGAAUAAAUUCUUUUUCCAGCAGCUCUUCGAUCUUCUCCUUCAAGAUCACAUUCUCCUUCGGGCUCAUUCGAUAAUGGGGAAGAUUAGGUAGGCUUGCUCCAGGGACUAAAUCAAUCUGAUGUUGAAUAUCUCGCAUAGGAGGAAGUUGUGCUGGUAAAUCCUCAGAAAUCAAAUCUUCAUACUCACUCAAAAUUUCCUGCACUUCUUUUGGAACGUGACUUGAAACAUCAUUUGUCACCAUAAGCCCCUUAAGAACAAUUGGAUACAUGCAUCCAACUUCUUUAAUAAUGUCUUCAAACUCGUGGCUAUUCCUGGAGAUAGCUAGAAAAUUUGAACUCCCAGCUUGUGGUUUUUCUAAUUUUCCAGAUUGAUCAACAGGAGCAAGUGCAAUUUUAUGAGAACCCCACUCAAAGAUAAACACAUUAUCACACCCUUUGUGGGUAGCAUCAACAUCAAACUGCCAAGGCCUUCAUAGUAAUACAUGGCUGGCAUCCAUAUCAAUUACAUCGCACCAAAUCUCAUGUUUGUAAUGCUUACCAAUAGAAAUAGGAACCCUGCAUGCUUCUGUCACUUUUACUGAUGGCCCUCUCUUCACCCACCCUAACAUAUAAGGAUUCUUAUGCUUCUCUAUUGAAAGUUUUAAAUAAUCAACCAGCUUUUGUGACACAAAAUUUUCACAGCCGCCUCCAUCUACAAUCAAUGUGCACACCUUGUUGUCAACAGAACAUAAGGAACGAAAUAUGUGAUUCCUCUGUCCUUCUUGUUUAGGUGAAAGAAGAGCUCGUUGUAGCACCAUGCUGAGCACUUCGUCUUCUUCAAUAGCAGUACGAUUCAUCAUCAAAUUAACAACCUCAUUAUUAUCUUCAUGUACAAACUCAGCAACAUCAUAAUCAUCAUCAUAAUUUCCACUAUGAUCAUCAGCUUCUUCGGUUCCUUCUACAAGGUUCGCUUGCUUCCGCUUUGGACAGUUAUUUGAUCGGUGGCUAGGCUGGAAACACCUAUAACAGACAUCACCAGUUGCUCUAGCGUAUGGGCCAUGGUUUGGUCUCUGAUUUCGAUUCUGAUUUAUGUCAUUGUUCUGGCUGCUCUCUCCUCUGUAAUUCUGCCCUUUAUAAUUAUUUCUUUGGAUCGGCUGGACCUCUUUCUUCUCCUUGUUAGGAACAUAUGAAUCUGCUGCCUUCCUCGGGUAAUUAUUGUUGUUGCCAUAGUUCAUUUUUUUCUCCUUCUAUUCACGUUCCUUCAGUUCUUUCUCUAACUGUUGUGCCUUCAUAGCCAUAUUUUGAGCCUCAUGGACGUCCCAGAAAACUUGUAACCCGAUUCUAUCCUGUAUUGAUGUCGUCAAUCCAUUGACAUAUCUUGAUACCGUCUGCCCCUGAGUCUCAUUCAACGAAUUUCUCUCUGCCAACCGUAAGAAAUCAUCAGUAUAAUCCUCUACUGUCCUGCUUCCCUCGGUACAAUUAUGGUAGAGGCGAUAGAGAUGCUGCUCAUAAUCUACUGAAAGGAAACGGUCCAUCAUCAAUUGUUUCAUCCUUCGCCAUGUCCUGACCGGUUGUUUGGCCUGUCUCUGUCGUGACUUCUGCAAAUUAUCCCACCAUACAGCUGCACUCCCUUUUAAGCAAAAAGUCGUUAUCUUAGUCAUCCUCUCUUCUGGUACUAACAUAAUCUCAAAAAAUCUCUCUACCUCCAUAAGCCAAUCUAAAAAUGCUUCAAUGGAUAGAUGACCAUUAAAAUAAGGGAUGUCGGCCUUCAUCCGAUAAUCUUCAAUGGGUUGUCGAUUAUUUAGAUUAGCAGCAAAUGCGUUCUCGGGAUGUUCCAUCUCCUCCUCAGAAUUCGAUUCAAUCUCCUCCCGUUGACGACGACCAUCACGGUUGCCUCUGCCUCCACCACGUUGGUUAUCUCGUUCAUUGUUGUUGUUGUUGUUGUUUCCCAUGUUGAGAAGCAAUUGCCGAAUCUCUUCAACGCUCGUAGCAAGAGCGUCAAACUCUCUCCUGGAAACUGGUUCCCCACCAGGAAGGGGUCGAUCAUUGUUCGGGUCAUUCGCCAUCGAGCCAAGGCAAACCUGCUCUGAUACCAAUUGACGCAGCAAGAAAAUUAACAGAGGGAUCCUCACGUUCACCCUCAAAAGUUUAUCUGGAAUCCACCAGAAAAUGAGAGAAAGUCUCAAAACUGUAUUUAAUAUUUGGAAUACAAAAGUGAGAGUAAGGCAACGCUUACGUUGUGUAUUUAUUCUACUUGAAACAUGCAUGAUUAAUUAUACCUAUUGAAUGCCAUUUAAAUCUCAGCGUACAAUACUCAUGACCUUUUCGUCUUCACUGUGCACCUAUCAAUUUGUGUUUUAAAUUCCCCUACCAAGCGUUCUGCAUC